RNAcentral lists this ribosomal RNA (484 nucleotides) under uncultured bacterium. Its description in RNAcentral is "partial 16S ribosomal RNA". It matches the Rfam family "Bacterial small subunit ribosomal RNA", at positions 30 to 507 of the family's 1533-position model. The record is from RNAcentral.
AUUGAACGCUGGCGGCAGGCCUAACACAUGCCAGACGAGCGGAUGAAGGGAGCUUGCUCCUGGAUUCAGCGGCGGACGGGUGAGUAAUGCCUAGGAAUCUGCCUGGUAGUGGGGGGUAACGUCCGGAAACGGGCGCUAAUACCGCAUACGUCCUGAGGGAGAAAGUGGGGGAUCUUCGGACCUCACGCUAUCAGAUGAGCCUAGGUCGGAUUAGCUAGUUGGUGGGGUAAAGGCCUACCAAGGCGACGAUCCGUAACUGGUCUGAGAGGAUGAUCAGUCACACUGGAACUGAGACACGGUCCAGACUCCUACGGGAGGCAGCAGUGGGGAAUAUUGGACAAUGGGCGAAAGCCUGAUCCAGCCAUGCCGCGUGUGUGAAGAAGGUCUUCGGAUUGUAAAGCACUUUAAGUUGGGAGGAAGGGCAGUAAGUUAAUACCUUGCUGUUUUGACGUUACCAACAGAAUAAGCACCGGCUAACUUCGUG